RNAcentral lists this ribosomal RNA (406 nucleotides) under uncultured bacterium. RNAcentral describes it as "partial 16S ribosomal RNA". It matches the Rfam family "Bacterial small subunit ribosomal RNA", at positions 28 to 526 of the family's 1533-position model. The record is from RNAcentral.
GACGAACGCUGGCGGCAGGCCUAACACAUGCAAGUCGGGCGAGCGGCGGACGGGUGCGUAAUGUAUGGGGAUCUGCCUUAUGGAGGGGGAUACCUACUGGAAACGGUAGCUAAUACCGCAUACCAUCAGAUGAACCCAUAUGGGAUUAGCUAGGAGGUGCGGUAACGGCUUACCUAGGCGACGAUCCCUAGCUGGUCUGAGAGGAUGAUCAGCCACACUGGGACUGAGACACGGCCCAGACUCCUACGGGAGGCAGCAGUGGGGGAUAUUGCACAAUGGGCGAAAGCCUGAUGCAGCGACGCCGCGUGGGGGAUGAAGGCUUUCGGGUUGUAAACCUCUUUCGCUAUCGAACGGGUAGGUGGAGAAGAAGCGCCGGCUAACUACGUGCCAGCAGCCGCGGUAAUUC